RNAcentral lists this ribosomal RNA (440 nucleotides) under uncultured bacterium. RNAcentral describes it as "partial 16S ribosomal RNA". It matches the Rfam family "Bacterial small subunit ribosomal RNA", at positions 338 to 795 of the family's 1533-position model. The record is from RNAcentral.
CCUACGGGAGGCAGCAGUGGGGAAUAUUGCACAAUGGGGGAAACCCUGAUGCAGCGACGCCGCGUGAGUGAAGAAGUAUCUCGGUACGUAAAGCUCUAUCAGCAGGGAAGAAAAUGACGGUACCUGACUAAGAAGCCCCGGCUAACUACGUGCCAGCAGCCGCCGUAAUACGUAGGGGGCACGCGUUAUCCGGAUUUACUGGGUGUAAAGGGAGCGUAGACGGGAGCACAAGUCUGGAGUGAAAUCCCGGGGCUUAACCCCGGAACUGCUUUGGAAACUGGGCGGCUGGAGUGCAGGAGGGGAAGGCGGAAUUCCUGGUGUAGCGGUGAAAUGCGUAGAUAUUAGGAGGAACACCGGUGGCGAAGGCGGCUGUCUGGACUGUAACUGACGUUGAGGCUCGAAAGCGUGGGGAGCAAACAGGAUUAGAUACCCCAGUAGUC